Molecule: ribosomal RNA, 106 nt
Filed under: Chinchilla lanigera (long-tailed chinchilla)
Lineage: Eukaryota; Metazoa; Chordata; Mammalia; Rodentia; Chinchillidae
Source: RNAcentral
CUCUAUGGCCAUACCACCCUGAACACUUCUGAUCUCAUCUGAUCUCGGAAUCUAAGUAGGGUAGGGCCUGGUUAGUACUUGGAUUGGAGAAGUGAAUUUAUAGAGG